CAGAUUGAGGAGCUAUCAUCCUUCCCCCACGGGAGUCCUCCUUCCAUUUCAAAAUCUCUCUGUAACCGCCUCCGCUUCGUCGGCGAUGGCCAUCCGAUCUCCUCUCUUCUCCCCUCUCUCUCUCUCGACGUCCAACCAAACCCUAACUCCUCCUCCUCCUCCUCCUUCUCUCUUGCGCCGACGCCGUUCUCCGGCGAGACCGAUCGCGUCCGGAUCCCUCCUCUCUGUUCUUCUCUCUUCGCUUCCCCGAGCCCGAACGGCAGCCGCUCUUCAACGUCCCUCCGGCGAGCGCGGACCGUCCGCGACCGAUGAUGAAGGAGGAGGUGUGGCGACGAGGAAGCGAAGGGAGCCUGAAUCGGAGCUCUUCCGCCUCGGGCGCUCUUGCUUUUGCCGGAUCUGGCCGGAGGUCGCGAUUUGAAACCGAUGCGAUCGCAGCGUGUUCUAGUCGCUUCCGACCGAGCAGUGGAGGUAAUGAUCCAAAUGGUACGGGAUUAUAGUGGUGGUUAUGAGCCUUACCGUUCGGGGCCUGAUCAGAAUGCGGGGGUUGCUGAGUAUCGUGAGGUUUGUGGAAGUAUUCGAGACGGCUACGGUCGGACUGUUAGCGGGAGUGAUGUUUUAUGCUAUGGAGGAUACCGAGGAAUGCAGUAACUAUGGGGAGUGUGGAAAUGGUGCAGAUUAUUCAGAUUAUCCACUGUGGCAUCGGCUGGGGUGGUGCAGGAGACGAGUGAGAGUGCAGUGAGAGUUUCUGGCGAGAGAGUAGGAAUGAGCUUCCAGCGAAAAUAGUGGAGGUGAAGUGGGAGGAGUUGAUAAAAAGUCGACCUAGGGAUGAUCGACUGAAUUGACUGAGGUAGCUUUUGGGCUUUCUUGUCAGGUAUGAAGACCGAACUCUUGAUUAUCAUUUGCACUAUAUCGCAGUUUUUGGUGAAAUUUUAUAUGAUGUCACGUUUGUGCUUGCAACUGUAAAUUGAACUUUUAGUUGGAGAACCUGUGGGCCCAUAUGUUUUACAAUAGUAUCUUCAGGUUCAAGCUAGGCAGAUUGCUGAUCCGAUAACCUUGUGUAGUUACUUGGGAAACACAGCUUGUUUGAAACAUUCUAGAAAGGAGUAAGGCUGAGUUUCUUCCUUUGUUCAUAUAUAUUGUGAGAAAUUUAGGUGAAGCCUCUGUUCCUGGCAGACAUUGGUGCAACUGCUUAAUGAUAACCACUGACUAAGACAUUGGUGUUUCUUUUGUUGGAAAAGAGAAACUAACCAAUUGCAGUAUCAGUACAGCAUUAAUUCUGCUGGCGACCCUUCUGGUUGGAGUUUUAUUACCAAUGAUUAGUGUACUGCAGACAAGAAGUGUAUGAGUUAUUUAUCUUUCCUCCAGAUAUCUUGCAUGUAGUCCAUGCUGCUAUAGUUUCUGGUAGCAUGUAAUCUGCUCUCUUACAUCUGCACAUCAUCAUCAAUGACCAUUGGGCCAUAUUUCUCUAAGCAGGGUCUCCAACAUGGAUCAAGUUACUCCAUUUCGUUUGACUGAACUAUAACUUUUAUAUAUUUGAUAUUCAGUAUUUUUCUUGGAAUAUAUGGCACAUCUUGAGCAUAUCUUCUCAUGGAUGCCUCUACACAGGUCCAAACUGUCCCAAACAAGUUUCAUUCAUAUUGUAUUUUGUCGUUGUGUCCUCAGAUGGAGUCACGCCAACUCUUUUAGAAAUACACUGAAUUCUAAUCAUACUUUUUCCCCGAUUAUCUACACAUCCAUUAGAGCAUUUUCAUUUCUGCCAAACUUAUUUUUCACUAUUGUUCCCAUAUCAGUAUUAAACUGCUUUUUUCUUCCGCUCAGUAAAAAGACAGUGUUGUCUGCGGGAAGAUAUCAGUUAUUUAUCUUCAGUUAUAUUUUUUAACUGUACAAGAUACUAUAUAGGCUUCUCUACUGCAUUUAUUAUUCUUGUAUGAUUGUUCUCCUCUUUUUGGGAAAUGGUCACAGGAUAGCAAAAAUGAUCUCUUUGGAUACCGUCGGUCGAAUUUUAACAUUUUCCUUUACUGAAUCUGCCUUUAAUGUGUUCUGUCAUUGAACAAGUCGAAUUCUGAAGUUUCUCUUCACAUUCAACAAUCUUACUUUUGCAUCUAUUUGUCAUGAGUUUCAUUUACUGGCACAGUAUCAUCUAGGAAAAGCAUAUGAUGAGGACUAUUAUUUUGCAUAUUCUAGGUGAACUUUUUCUUUUCCAAGCUAAAGGGUACAGAUGAUGGAAAAAAGUAAUCAUCAAUGUAAGGUUAUUGCUAUUGGGAAAUGCUUUGUUCCUCUCAGUGUACUGAUUGAAGUCACCACUAUUAUAUUAUCCGUACCCUUUAUUGCUUGUAUGGAAGCAAAAAAAAGAAAAAGAAAAAAAUUCUUCUCAAUCUGAAAACUUUUGUAGGAUCCAUUUCCUUGGCCUUUUCCUGAUUUACGAAAAUUUUGAGCAAAUCCUAUCUUCUUCUUUUUCUUUUUCUUUUUUCUUUCUAUUGAUCCAGAGAGAGUCUAAAAACUGAGUCUAAGGGCCAUUUGGUAAGUGUCCUGGUUCUGGGGAACUAGCUGCAGAAAAAGGUUGUCAUAAUAGUUUGUGCGUUUUGUCUUUCAUUCUGAGUUAUGAUUGUAACUUGAAAUGUCAUAAAAUAAUCUCGUGACUUAUCUGCCUCAUACUUCUUUCAUCAUGGCAUGCCUCCAAAUAAAAAAUAGUCUUUUUCAUUUUGACUAAUUUGUAUUUAAGGAUGCAACUGUACAACUGUUUGACCUAGAGCUACCAAAAUCUACUAGGUCUUUGGUUUGAUUACUAUUUUGCUCCUCCCCUGCCCAUCUUGCAAAUCAAAAGAGGAGGUGUGUCCAGUAGAGUUACAAUGUCUUGGUUAUUUAAGGCACAUAUCAAUGUUUUGAGAACCUGCAUGGUUCAACUAGGUACUGGAAGCUGGUCCAGUUCAGUCUUUUUACGUAAAAAGUCUAGCUCAACAACCAAAGUUGACGUGGUUCUACUGGGUAAACUAGCAAAUAGGUCAACCUAGACUUUUGAAAAAACAAAUAGGUUCUUGCUAGGCAGGGAUUUGAGCCCCUGACCUUGAGUGACCUCCUGAUGCACAUCAGGGAAGCUCUCUUCCUAUCUAAAUAUUGUCAAAGAAGCUAUCGUUGGGGGAAAAGGAAAAAAUUAACUUGGUGUUGAGGGGACUCGAGUCCUGAGCCUUGACCUCAAUCAGCUGUGAUAUCUGUACUGUAUCACCCUAAACACUUUCUUCAAACCAGCUGUCGAAACUUUGAAACAGUUAAAUUUGUCACCACCAGCUUUGUUGUUUCUAACACCUGUUUUUCUUACCAACACUAGUGUAUAUUACAGUAGCCUUCUACUGUCAAAUACACAUCAUUUUGCGCAUGUGAGUCAAGUAGGGCAACUGGAGAUAGAUAUGCUGCUGGUUCAAAUCAAAUAGACACAUCAUUUUGCACAUGAGUCAACUUGGGCAACUGAAGGAUAGAUAUGCUGCUAAUUUAAAUCAUAUAGUCGUUAAUUCAACUUUUGCAGUGCCUUUGCAUUGUCUAAUUUUCAACUGCUCGCGUUGUCAACUCUGUUGUGGAGGUGUUAAGAUUAAUGGACAAUAACUAGUUCAACUGGCAAUGCGAACCAUAUUUUAUAGUUAUUUCGUACCUGGUAUAAUGCAUCAUUAAAAUUUUCUGAAGAAGAAUAAAGGAAAUUAGUUUAGCUUAAAUUGUUAAUCCUCUUAGCAGAUGGUUAGAAGUUUUGUCAAGCAUUACAUUCCCUGCAUCACUGGUGUUUCAUGCUGCUGCUGUUAUACGCAUCAAAAUCUUUUGGAAACUGGUCCAUGGUAAGAUGAUAUUCACAUCACAUCCCUUGGGUUUUCAGAAAGUCAUACCUAAGUCAUACCUAUGAAUUCUGCUGAAUAUCCUGAAGCCCUUUCAUAGCAGAUAUAUUUCUUUUUUAAUGCUAAUUUCUUUUUGCACAUAAAAUUUUUAGCCUGCUGCAGCAAAGGCUUUCCCUUUUAAACAGAAGGAGAUGGAGCAUGCAGGAUGUCGUACAAGAGGCUUCCUACAAAGGCUCAAAUACUAGCAAAGCGUGGAUGGUGAUAUGCAAGUGGUGCCGUGAUAGGAGAGGAUGCCUUAAAACAACGGUGGAAGAUGAACUCGAUGUGAAGAAAAAUUAUUGGUGGGGCAGGACCACUAGUAGGUCAUAACAACCCCGGUAGCUCAUGGAAGCAGACAUUACUGCUGACAUUGUUGGUAAAACAGAGAGAAACAGGAACGGAAAGGAGGCAAAAAGGGUUCAGCAGUUAGCACGGGAUCUAAGGACUGUUGAGCGAUUUGUCCAUGGCCUUGUCGUAGAUUUUUUGUGGGCUGGUAGAUGUGGUGCCUGUGACCAUAUUCCAAGUGUUUCGGAGGUGAUGUCACUAGGUGCCAGAAAGACCGACUUUCCCUGGCUUGCAUGUGACAUGGUACUGAAUAAAUCUAACAUAGUAUGAGAAUGUAUGUAUUAGGUUUUGGGUGA
Eucalyptus grandis is the source of this 4498-nucleotide long non-coding RNA. RefSeq lists it as uncharacterized. The transcript is spliced from 2 exons. NCBI's taxonomy places the organism in Eukaryota, Viridiplantae, Streptophyta, Magnoliopsida, Myrtales, Myrtaceae. The record is from RefSeq and is a predicted model, not a curated record.